This 1438-nucleotide ribosomal RNA is filed under the name Staphylococcus aureus. RNAcentral describes it as "partial 23S ribosomal RNA". It matches the Rfam family "Bacterial large subunit ribosomal RNA", at positions 1467 to 2904 of the family's 2925-position model. The record is from RNAcentral. Lineage: Bacteria; Bacillati; Bacillota; Bacilli; Caryophanales; Staphylococcaceae.
GGGGGACGCAGUAGGAUAGGCGAAGCGUGCGAUUGGAUUGCACGUCUAAGCAGUAAGGCUGAGUAUUAGGCAAAUCCGGUACUCAUUAAGGCUGAGCUGUGAUGGGGAGAAGACAUUGUGUCUUCGAGUCGUUGAUUUCACACUGCCGAGAAAAGCCUCUAGAUAGAAAAUAGGUGCCCGUACCGCAAACCGACACAGGUAGUCAAGAUGAGAAUUCUAAGGUGAGCGAGCGAACUCUCGUUAAGGAACUCGGCAAAAUGACCCCGUAACUUCGGGAGAAGGGGUGCUCUUUAGGGUUAACGCCCAGAAGAGCCGCAGUGAAUAGGCCCAAGCGACUGUUUAUCAAAAACACAGGUCUCUGCUAAACCGUAAGGUGAUGUAUAGGGGCUGACGCCUGCCCGGUGCUGGAAGGUUAAGAGGAGUGGUUAGCUUCUGCGAAGCUACGAAUCGAAGCCCCAGUAAACGGCGGCCGUAACUAUAACGGUCCUAAGGUAGCGAAAUUCCUUGUCGGGUAAGUUCCGACCCGCACGAAAGGCGUAACGAUUUGGGCACUGUCUCAACGAGAGACUCGGUGAAAUCAUAGUACCUGUGAAGAUGCAGGUUACCCGCGACAGGACGGAAAGACCCCGUGGAGCUUUACUGUAGCCUGAUAUUGAAAUUCGGCACAGCUUGUACAGGAUAGGUAGGAGCCUUUGAAACGUGAGCGCUAGCUUACGUGGAGGCGCUGGUGGGAUACUACCCUAGCUGUGUUGGCUUUCUAACCCGCACCACUUAUCGUGGUGGGAGACAGUGUCAGGCGGGCAGUUUGACUGGGGCGGUCGCCUCCUAAAAGGUAACGGAGGCGCUCAAAGGUUCCCUCAGAAUGGUUGGAAAUCAUUCAUAGAGUGUAAAGGCAUAAGGGAGCUUGACUGCGAGACCUACAAGUCGAGCAGGGUCGAAAGACGGACUUAGUGAUCCGGUGGUUCCGCAUGGAAGGGCCAUCGCUCAACGGAUAAAAGCUACCCCGGGGAUAACAGGCUUAUCUCCCCCAAGAGUUCACAUCGACGGGGAGGUUUGGCACCUCGAUGUCGGCUCAUCGCAUCCUGGGGCUGUAGUCGGUCCCAAGGGUUGGGCUGUUCGCCCAUUAAAGCGGUACGCGAGCUGGGUUCAGAACGUCGUGAGACAGUUCGGUCCCUAUCCGUCGUGGGCGUAGGAAAUUUGAGAGGAGCUGUCCUUAGUACGAGAGGACCGGGAUGGACAUACCUCUGGUGUACCAGUUGUCGUGCCAACGGCAUAGCUGGGUAGCUAUGUGUGGACGGGAUAAGUGCUGAAAGCAUCUAAGCAUGAAGCCCCCCUCAAGAUGAGAUUUCCCAACUUCGGUUAUAAGAUCCCUCAAAGAUGAUGAGGUUAAUAGGUUCGAGGUGGAAGCAUGGUGACAUGUGGAGCUGACGAAUACUAA